UACGGAGGGUGCAAGCGUUGCUCGGAAUUAUUGGGCGUAAAGGGCAGGUAGGUGGUCUCAUUUGUCUGGGGUGAAAUCCUUGGGCUUAACUCAAGAAGUGCCUCGGAAACGGUGAGACUGGAGUCCUAGAGAGGGUCGUGGAAUUCCCGGUGUAGCGGUGAAAUGCGUAGAGAUCGGGAGGAACACCAGCGGCGAAGGCGGCGACCUGGAUAGGUACUGACACUCAACUGCGAAAGCGUGGGGAGCAAACAGG
This 253-nucleotide ribosomal RNA is filed under the name uncultured bacterium. Its description in RNAcentral is "partial 16S ribosomal RNA". It matches the Rfam family "Bacterial small subunit ribosomal RNA", at positions 524 to 776 of the family's 1533-position model. The record is from RNAcentral.